GGCCACGUGGCGAAGUAGCUAACGCGACGGUCUGCAAAACCGUUAUACAUGGGUGCAAUUCCCAUCGUGGCCU
This 73-nucleotide transfer RNA is filed under the name Candidatus Liptonbacteria bacterium. Its description in RNAcentral is "tRNA-Cys". It matches the Rfam family "tRNA". From Rfam's summary of the family: Transfer RNA (tRNA) molecules are approximately 80 nucleotides in length. Their secondary structure includes four short double-helical elements and three loops (D, anti-codon, and T loops). Lineage: Bacteria; Candidatus Liptoniibacteriota. The record is from RNAcentral.